Molecule: long non-coding RNA, 884 nt
Filed under: Cyanistes caeruleus (blue tit)
Lineage: Eukaryota; Metazoa; Chordata; Aves; Passeriformes; Paridae
Description: lncRNA (ENSCCEG00000001615.1)
Source: RNAcentral
GGAGUGGAACUGACCCCACCCGUGACUUUCCGGCUGCGAAGCGGCUCCGGUCCCGUCUAUGUCAGCGGCCAGCACGUGUCCCGUGAGUGUCCCCUGAGUGUCCCCAACUCCCCUCGGGUGUCCCGUGAGUGUCCCCUGAGUGUCCCCAACUCCCCUUGAGUGUCCCGUGAGUGUCCCCUGAGUGUCCCCAACCCUCCCCCGAGUGUCCUGUGAGUCUCCCCCGAGUGUCCCUGUCCCUCCUCGGGUGUCCCCUGAGUGUCCCCCGAGUGUCCCCAACCCUCCCCCGAGUGUCCUGUGAGUCUCCCCGUUCCCCCUCGGGUGUCCCCGAGGUCCGGGGGCUCAGCCGGGCUCUCCCGCCCGCAGUGACAAACUUCAGCUCGGAGGAUGAGGAAGAGGAAGUAGUAGAGGAGACCCCCGAGAAGCCCCCCAAGGCCUCGAGUGCCCGGAAAGGCGGCGCUGCCAAGAAAAGGAAGCUGGAAAAGGAGGAUGAGCUGGGCGCGGGGCCGGCCGGGGAAGGAAAGCAGCACCGAAGAAAUAAUGGGAAUUCCAUCGGAACCGGGCCAGGUGAGCAUUGGCAUGAGCAAUCCCGGAGCUCGGAGAGCCCUGGGGGGCGGCUCCGUCCCCACCGCGGGUUCUCCAGGCCUUCCCUGCGGGUAAAUCCCAUUUUUCCCUCCUUCCCUUCCAGGUGCGGCCGAGGCUGGAGCAGCAGCAGCAGCCGGUGGUGGUGGUGGUGUGGUUCCCAAAUAAAGCACAUUUUGCACUCCUGGCUCCCCGCGCUGCUGCCGGGGGGGAUUUGGGGGCACCCCCCACCCCGGCUGGAGCUGCUGCCCUGGAUUUGGGGGGGCCAGCGCUGCCCCCCGGCCGUGGGGUGCCGUGAGAAGGGC